CGGGGUGCUAAUACAUGCAAGUCGAACGCGUUGGCCCAAUUGAUUGAUGGUGCUUGCACCUGAUUGAUUUUGGUCGCCAACGAGUGGCGGACGGGUGAGUAACACGUAGGUAACCUGCCCAGAAGCGGGGGACAACAUUUGGAAACAGAUGCUAAUACCGCAUAACAGCGUUGUUCGCAUGAACAACGCUUAAAAGAUGGCUUCUCGCUAUCACUUCUGGAUGGACCUGCGGUGCAUUAGCUUGUUGGUGGGGUAACGGCCUACCAAGGCGAUGAUGCAUAGCCGAGUUGAGAGACUGAUCGGCCACAAUGGGACUGAGACACGGCCCAUACUCCUACGGGAGGCAGCAGUAGGGAAUCUUCCACAAUGGGCGCAAGCCUGAUGGAGCAACACCGCGUGAGUGAAGAAGGGUUUCGGCUCGUAAAGCUCUGUUGUUAAAGAAGAACACGUAUGAGAGUAACUGUUCAUACGUUGACGGUAUUUAACCAGAAAGUCACGGCUAACUACGUGCCAGCAGCCGCGGUAAUACGUAGGUGGCAAGCGUUAUCCGGAUUUAUUGGGCGUAAAGAGAGUGCAGGCGGUUUUCUAAGUCUGAUGUGAAAGCCUUCGGCUUAACCGGGAGAAGUGCAUCGGAAACUGGAUAACUUGAGUGCAAAGAGGGUAGUGGAACUCCAUGUGUAGCGGUGGAAUGCGGUAGAUAUAUGGAAGAACACCAGUGGCGAAGGCGGGUACCUGGUCUGCAA
This 743-nucleotide ribosomal RNA is filed under the name Limosilactobacillus fermentum. RNAcentral describes it as "bacterial SSU rRNA". It matches the Rfam family "Bacterial small subunit ribosomal RNA", at positions 40 to 739 of the family's 1533-position model. Lineage: Bacteria; Bacillati; Bacillota; Bacilli; Lactobacillales; Lactobacillaceae. The record is from RNAcentral.